Molecule: ribosomal RNA, 254 nt
Filed under: uncultured bacterium
Lineage: Bacteria
Description: partial 16S ribosomal RNA
Rfam family: Bacterial small subunit ribosomal RNA
Source: RNAcentral
UACGUAGGGUGCAAGCGUUGUCCGGAAUUAUUGGGCGUAAAGAGCUCGUAGGCGGUUUGUUGCGUCGGCUGUGAAAUCCCGAGGCUCAACCUCGGGUCUGCAGUCGAUACGAGCAAACUAGAGUGUUGCAGGGGAGACUGGAAUUCCUGGUGUAGCGGUGAAAUGCGCAGAUAUCAGGAGGAACACCGGUGGCGAAGGCGGGUCUCUGGGCCCGAUACUGACGCUGAGGAGCGAAAGCGUGGGGAGCGAACAGG